ACUCAAAUGAAUAGACGGGGACCCGCACAAGCAGUGGAGCAUGUGGUUUAAUUCGAUGCAACGCGAAGAACCUUACCCAGGCUUGACAUGCAGAUGACAACACCAGAGAUGGUGUGUCCCUUCGGGGCAUCUGCACAGGUGCUGCAUGGCUGUCGUCAGCUCGUGCCGUGAGGUGUUUGGUUAAGUCCAGCAACGAGCGCAACCCUUAUCAUUAGUUGCCAACACUUAGGGUGGGAACUCUAAUGAGACUGCCUGGGUUAACCAGGAGGAAGGUGAGGAUGACGUCAAGUCCGCAUGGCCCUUAUGUCUGGGGCUACACACGUGCUACAAUGGUCGGUACAGAAGGCAGCGAAACCGCAAGGCGGAGCAAAUCCCGAAAGCCGAUCUCAGUUCAGAUUGUAGUCUGCAACUCGACUACAUGAAGACGGAAUUGCUAGUAAUGGUGGGUCAGCAACACCACCGUGAAUACGUUCCCGGGUCUUGUACACACCGCCCGU
RNAcentral lists this ribosomal RNA (497 nucleotides) under uncultured bacterium. Its description in RNAcentral is "partial 16S ribosomal RNA". It matches the Rfam family "Bacterial small subunit ribosomal RNA", at positions 899 to 1397 of the family's 1533-position model. The record is from RNAcentral.